GCCAGAGUGGCGGAACCGGUAGACGCGGCGGAUUCAAAAUCCGCAGCCCUUCAUCGGGCGUGGGGGUUCGAGUCCCCCCUCUGGCACCA
RNAcentral lists this transfer RNA (89 nucleotides) under Planctomycetota bacterium. Its description in RNAcentral is "Planctomycetes bacterium tRNA-Leu". It matches the Rfam family "tRNA". Rfam says of the family: Transfer RNA (tRNA) molecules are approximately 80 nucleotides in length. Their secondary structure includes four short double-helical elements and three loops (D, anti-codon, and T loops). Lineage: Bacteria; Pseudomonadati; Planctomycetota. The record is from RNAcentral.